UAUCUCUCCGUACGGGGAAGGAUGAGAAGCUUCGACUAAGGUUCGAUUCGAGCGAAAGCGAGAAAGCGUUGCCGCAGGCAACGACCCGAAGGGCGAAGCGCGCAGCGCUGAGUCAACCUUCCCCCACCACCA
This 132-nucleotide small RNA is filed under the name Salmonella enterica subsp. enterica serovar Infantis. RNAcentral describes it as "RtT sRNA". It matches the Rfam family "RtT RNA". From Rfam's summary of the family: This family represents a bacterial cis-regulatory element known as RtT RNA. The exact function of RtT is unknown although it is thought that it may be involved in changing the cellular response in relation to amino acid starvation. The record is from RNAcentral. RNAcentral also lists the same sequence under 80 other names. Lineage: Bacteria; Pseudomonadati; Pseudomonadota; Gammaproteobacteria; Enterobacterales; Enterobacteriaceae.